GAUAAAAUUAAUUGUAUAAAAGAACUGGGUAUGUAGUAUGAAUGUUGCGACUUGCGGUGCAACUCGUUUGCGCACAACGAAAUCAGUCGUUUACCUGAAUACGGACAACUCGUUUGUGCACAACAUAAACACUGAGUAACAUAUUCAUAUUAUAUUUUAUAUUUUUAUAUUUAGAUUAACCUACCUAAAGUAACCUGUGACAUUUUUUUUUUAAGAAACAAACAUACUGAUACUUACAUCAAUAUGUGGAAAACGUUACAAAAUAUAUUAUGUAUUCAAAUUACUAGUAAAAUGAUAAAUUUAUAAAUUUUAGCAAUGUUUUUGUUGACUAAGAAAAAUCUGUAUAUAAUGGAGUAGGUAUUGAAAAUCUUCCGCAAUUGAAAAAUUGGGUGUUAUAACUUUCAUUUAGGGAAAAAUAGGUUUAGACAUAUUCAACAAAACAAAAUAUUAUCGAGCGAGUACUUAAACAAUAACUCUGAAAUUGCCAAAUGGAUAAAAUGUUUUAAGUUACCUAUUUAUUUAUUCACCCUUGACGAAGUUUCUGAUAUAUUUUAUGAUUUUAUGUCGAUAGCAUCAAGUCCUAAGUCAAAUACUAUUUCUAUAUUUUCCGAAUAUAUUUUGAGGAAAAUGUGCGUAAACGAGUUGUACCUUUAUUAAUUAUUAAACCUAAAAUAUGUGUGCGUUAACGAGUUGUGAUUUUGAGUGCAAACGAGACGUAUCCGUACGUCGAGUACCUAUCGAAUUUUGUAUACCUAUUAGUUAUCAUUUUAAUUUAAUGUUGUCGACAUACCGUAAUACUGUACAUCGUUUUUUACGUAAGUUGCAAAAUUAACAUUUUUAUACUUUGCUUGUAAUAAUGGACUCCACAAUAUUGAAUAUUUUUAUUGAAAGAGGUAUAGGAAAGACAAUCACUUCAUCCAUCCAUAGGCCUUCACGUCGAAUAUACAACAGAAGAAUCACGUUCCUAUGUUCAGCCUGCUCAAUCGACCCAGCCCGGCCAGAUCGACACGUCAUGCAGCUGCAGCUGCUGAGGUCGAUAUUUUGCUGGAGGGGAGGAGACAAAGGUUUGAAAAAAAAGUCACGAACCACGCCUGUACCAGAUGUCAGAUUUGAACCAUAGAAAAGAGAAUUUAGCCCUCCUCCAUUUACGUAUCUACAGCAUCUAAUGCGUCAUACGAACUCUUGUCAAUGCGCGCUUUGUAGUUUUGUACGGUGGAAAAUCAAUAGUGUUUUUUUUCACGAAUCGAAUAAUAAAUUACCUAAACGAUAAUAAUAUAAUAAUUAUAAGUACUGUUCCAAAUAGCUUUAGACUCGGUUAGAUAUAACUGUUUAGCACUUUAGCAUAAUAACGUCAUAUUAAAUAACGUUAUUUUGUAAUUAAUAUUAUUUAUAGUAGGCAUAUUAUGUUUGAUGUGGGUUUGAAGGAAACGUAGAUACGAUUGAGAAAAAUUCUUGUUACUUUAUCCUCUUUAAAAAUGAAUUCCCUUGAAAAUAUGUAUAAUAUGAGUAAUAAAAAUUACAUUUGAUA
Aphis gossypii (cotton aphid) is the source of this 1528-nucleotide long non-coding RNA. RefSeq lists it as uncharacterized. The record is from RefSeq and is a predicted model, not a curated record. NCBI's taxonomy places the organism in Eukaryota, Metazoa, Arthropoda, Insecta, Hemiptera, Aphididae. The transcript has 2 exons.